Long non-coding RNA from Panthera uncia (snow leopard), 295 nucleotides. RefSeq lists it as uncharacterized. Lineage: Eukaryota; Metazoa; Chordata; Mammalia; Carnivora; Felidae. The record is from RefSeq and is a predicted model, not a curated record. The transcript has 2 exons.
CACAAUGGCUCUUCCUCCCUCCAGGCCUCUCAAGCCAACCACCGUCUCGGCACAUCAUCAGCCCAUCUGCUCCUGCCUGGCUCACGAGUCUUCUCGGGUGAGGUCUGGCCUGCAUAGUACAAUAGCACAGGGAAGUUAUCUUCUACCGAAAGCCACCGGGAGAGGAAGUCUUGAGGACAAGACGGGCUGAUGUUCAAAGAUGGCAAAGACCGACGGCAUUUUUAGGAAACAUUCAACAGUGUCACUCAAAUGCUGGAUCAACAGAAACUUUUACAAUUAAAAAAAAAGAGAUGGU